GGAGGAUUACCCAAGUUGGGCUUAAGGGAGCAGUCUCGAAAACUGCCAGGCGUGUCAAAGCGUGCGUGGGUUCGAAUCACAUAUUCUCCG
Molecule: transfer RNA, 90 nt
Filed under: Streptococcus agalactiae LMG 14747
Lineage: Bacteria; Bacillati; Bacillota; Bacilli; Lactobacillales; Streptococcaceae
Description: tRNA-Ser
Rfam family: tRNA
About the family: Transfer RNA (tRNA) molecules are approximately 80 nucleotides in length. Their secondary structure includes four short double-helical elements and three loops (D, anti-codon, and T loops). Further hydrogen bonds mediate the characteristic L-shaped molecular structure. tRNAs have two regions of fundamental functional importance: the anti-codon, which is responsible for specific mRNA codon recognition, and the 3' end, to which the tRNAs corresponding amino acid is attached (by aminoacyl-tRNA synthetases). tRNAs cope with the degeneracy of the genetic code in two manners: having more than one tRNA (with a specific anti-codon) for a particular amino acid; and 'wobble' base-pairing, i.e. permitting non-standard base-pairing at the 3rd anti-codon position.
Source: RNAcentral